AGGCAUGCUUUGGCCCAAGGCCAUUCGGGUCCUCACUCUAUGAAUGUAGUGGGGACGAGUAAAAGCAUGCUAGAUUAACACCCAAACAUUUGGGAGUUAACAGGGCCACCAGCCUUUCAAGUCCAGGCUGAGUUGGUAGUAUAAUGCUCCCACAGUA
Molecule: small nucleolar RNA, 157 nt
Filed under: Cyprinodon variegatus (sheepshead minnow)
Lineage: Eukaryota; Metazoa; Chordata; Actinopteri; Cyprinodontiformes; Cyprinodontidae
Description: Small nucleolar RNA U109 (ENSCVAG00000018986.1)
Rfam family: Small nucleolar RNA U109
Source: Rfam by way of RNAcentral